RNAcentral lists this ribosomal RNA (385 nucleotides) under uncultured bacterium. Its description in RNAcentral is "bacterial SSU rRNA". It matches the Rfam family "Bacterial small subunit ribosomal RNA", at positions 355 to 732 of the family's 1533-position model. The record is from RNAcentral.
UGGGGAAUUUUGGACAAUGGGGGCAACCCUGAUCCAGCCAUUCCGCGUGAGUGAAGAAGGCCUUCGGGUUGUAAAGCUCUUUUGUCGGGGACGAAACGGUUACGAUUAAUACUCGUGACAACUGACGGUACCCGAAGAAUAAGCACCGGCUAACUACGUGCCAGCAGCCGCGGUAAUACGUAGGGUGCGAGCGUUAAUCGGAAUUACUGGGCGUAAAGCGUGCGCAGGCGGUUUUAUAAGCCAGAUGUGAAAUCCCCGGGCUCAACCUGGGAAUGGCAUUUGGGACUGUAAGGCUAGAGUAUGGCAGAGGAGACUAGAAUUUCUGGUGUAGCAGUGAAAUGCGUAGAUAUCAGAAGGAAUACCGAUGGCGAAGGCAGGUCUCUGG